GCCCUUGCAGUAGCCUUAUGUGGUUCACCACUAUACGGUGGAUGCCAAACUUGCUUCCAUCUUUGCUUGGACACGAGGACUUGCUCACAGGGCUAAGUUGGACAACAACGAUAGACUCUUGGAUUUCACCGAGAAGCUUGAAGCAGCUUGCAUUGGUGCUGUGGAGUCUGGAAAGAUGACCAAGGAUCUUGCACUUAUCAUCCAUGGGUCAAAGCUUUCAAGGGACACAUAUCUAAACAUUGAAGAAUUCAUUGACGCUGUGGCAGAUGAACUGAAAGCUAAACUCUUGAAAGCCAAGGCAUAAUUGAUAAAUGCUUGGAUGCAGCAGUAGAAAUGACAUUGUAUUUGACAGAGAACA
Molecule: long non-coding RNA, 358 nt
Organism: Ipomoea nil (Japanese morning glory)
Lineage: Eukaryota; Viridiplantae; Streptophyta; Magnoliopsida; Solanales; Convolvulaceae
Exons: 4
Source: RefSeq, a predicted model, not a curated record